This 72-nucleotide transfer RNA is filed under the name Vairimorpha ceranae. RNAcentral's name for it is "Nosema ceranae tRNA-Asp". It matches the Rfam family "tRNA". From Rfam's summary of the family: Transfer RNA (tRNA) molecules are approximately 80 nucleotides in length. Their secondary structure includes four short double-helical elements and three loops (D, anti-codon, and T loops). Further hydrogen bonds mediate the characteristic L-shaped molecular structure. tRNAs have two regions of fundamental functional importance: the anti-codon, which is responsible for specific mRNA codon recognition, and the 3' end, to which the tRNAs corresponding amino acid is attached (by aminoacyl-tRNA synthetases). tRNAs cope with the degeneracy of the genetic code in two manners: having more than one tRNA (with a specific anti-codon) for a particular amino acid; and 'wobble' base-pairing, i.e. permitting non-standard base-pairing at the 3rd anti-codon position. RNAcentral also lists the same sequence under 1 other name. Lineage: Eukaryota; Fungi; Microsporidia; Nosematidae. The record is from RNAcentral.
UCUCCUAUGGUGCAGUGGUAGCAUGCUAGUCUGUCACGCUGGUGGCCCGGGUUCGAGUCCCGGUGGGAGAGC